UGAAUACGAGAUGCUACGGCGUCGAAGCAGUCUAUGUCAUACUUCCAAGAAAAGCUUGCACUGUCAUAAACAAAUAAUGCCUGUACCAUAACCGACACAGGUGGGUAGGUAGAGUAUACUAAGGGGCGCGAGAUAACUCUCUCUAAGGAACUCGGCAAAAUGACUCCGUAACUUCGGGAGAAGGAGUGCCUUAUUUAUAAGGUUGCAAUAACAAGAUCCAAGCAACUGUUUACCAAAAACACAGGUCUCCGCUAAGUCGUAAGACGAUGUAUGGGGGCUGACGCCUGCCCAGUGCCAGAAGGUUAAAGAAGUUGGUUAGCAUCCGCGAAGCUGAUAACUGAAGCCCUGGUGAACGGCGGCCGUAACAAUAACGGUCCUAAGGUAGCGAAAUUCCUUGUCGGGUAAGUUCCGACCCGCACGAAAGGCGUAAUGAUUUGGAUACUGUCUCGGAGAGGGGCUCGGUGAAAUAGACUUGUCUGUGAAGAUGCGGACUACCUGCACCAGGACAGAAAGACCCUAUGAAGCUUUACUGUAACCUGAAAUUGAAAUUGGACUUUACUUGCGCAGUAUAGGUGGGAGGCGUUGAGAAUAUUCUUGCGGGAUUAUUGGAGCCAUCAGUGAGAUACCACUCUUGUAAUGUUAGAUUUCUAACUUUGUAUCAUUAUCUGGUCAAAGAACAGUUUCAGGCGGGCAGUUUGACUGGGGCGGUCGCCUCCUAAACGGUAACGGAGGCGCACAAAGGUUUCCUCUGAACGGGUAGAAAUCGUAUCUAGAGUGUAAAGGCAUAAGGAAGCUUGACUGUGAGACCUACAAGUCGAGCAGGGACGAAAGUCGGUCUUAGUGAUCUGACGGUGCUGAGUGGAAAGGCCGUCACUCAACGGAUAAAAGUUACUCUAGGAUAACAGGCUGAUCUCCCCCAAGAGUUCACAUCGACGGGGAGGUUUGGCACCUCGAUGUCGGCUCAUCGCAUCCUGGGGCGGUAGUACGUCCCAAGGGUUGGGCUGUUCGCCCAUGAAAGCGGUACGCGAGCUGGGUUCAGAACGUCGUGAGACAGUUCGGUCCAUAUCCGGUGUAGGCGUUAGAAUAUUGAGAGGAGCCUUCUUUAGUACGAGAGGACCGAGAAGGACAUACCUCUGGUGUACCAGUUAUCGUGCCAACGGUAAACGCUGGGUAGCUAUGUGUGGAGUGGAUAACCGCUGAAAGCAUCUAAGUGGGAAGCCCACCUCAAGAUAAGUAUUCAU
Molecule: ribosomal RNA, 1241 nt
Filed under: metagenome
Description: bacterial LSU rRNA
Rfam family: Bacterial large subunit ribosomal RNA
Source: RNAcentral